RNAcentral lists this ribosomal RNA (329 nucleotides) under uncultured Bacteroidota bacterium. RNAcentral's name for it is "bacterial SSU rRNA". It matches the Rfam family "Bacterial small subunit ribosomal RNA", at positions 28 to 351 of the family's 1533-position model. Lineage: Bacteria; Pseudomonadati; Bacteroidota. The record is from RNAcentral.
GAUGAACGCUAGCGGGAGGCUUAACACAUGCAAGUCGAGGGGCAGCAUAGGGUAGCAAUACUCUGAUGGCGACCGGCGCACGGGUGAGUAACGCGUAUGCAACCUACCCUGUACUGGGGGGAUAACCCGGAGAAAUUCGGACUAAUAUCCCAUAGAAAUAUUGGAAGGCAUCUUUUGAUAUUUAAAGUUCCGGCGGUACGGGAUGGGCAUGCGUAACAUUAGCUGGUUGGUAAGGUAACGGCUUACCAAGGCUUUGAUGUUUAGGGGUCCUGAGAGGGUGAUCCCCCACACUGGUACUGAGACACGGACCAGACUCCUACGGGUGGCAG